Etheostoma cragini (Arkansas darter) is the source of this 174-nucleotide long non-coding RNA. RefSeq lists it as uncharacterized. The record is from RefSeq and is a predicted model, not a curated record. Lineage: Eukaryota; Metazoa; Chordata; Actinopteri; Perciformes; Percidae. The transcript is spliced from 3 exons.
UAAAAAGUACAAUCUUUCUCUCUGAAAUGUAGUGAAGUAGAGAGUGGCAUGAAAAGAAAACACUCAAGUGACUUACAGGUACCUCAAAUUUUUACUUAAGUACAGUACUUGAGUUACUGUACUUAGUUAUAUUCCACCACUAAUCAAGACAGACUAGUGUCUAUGUAAGGAUCU